GCGGCUCAGCGGUUAAGAGCACUGGCUGCUCUCCAAGAGGUCCUGAGUUCAAUUCUCAGCAACCACA
This 67-nucleotide transfer RNA is filed under the name Mus musculus (house mouse). RNAcentral's name for it is "tRNA-Ser". The record is from RNAcentral. Lineage: Eukaryota; Metazoa; Chordata; Mammalia; Rodentia; Muridae.